AGCUGGCACAGGCCCUCCCUGUAGCCAAGCCAGCUCCCCAGCUUGUUUUGCCCUUAGGAAUCCAUCAAACCCUCAGCCACAUUCCUUUUAUCUGAGGUCUGGGCCACAGUGCUUUAGUCAGAAUCAUCUGAGGUUUUGUUUGCUUCAUUUUGUUUGGUGCAAGAGGCAAGGAGCAGAUGGUAUACCGUUAACAGAUGGAGAGGAAACCAGAAAGCCUCCGGUCUCUUCUCUGCUUCCUUUAUGUAAAAGCGGAGUUGCUGCAGAAAGGACACGCAGCCUUGCGGGGAGUGAGAUCCCAAAGGAGAAGAACGCGACACCUGCUCUCCAAGGGCGUGUGGGCGGUCCGCCCCAGAUAACCCGAAAGACCUUGGGAACGCGUGUGAAGUGCUUGGAGGGAACCUCUCUGGAAGCUCGAAGAACGAGAGAGACACCAGGGCAGAGGAGGUGGCAGACGCGCCCGCUCUUGGGGCGGGCGGAGGGAGACUCCGGAUGCGCAAGCUCACUGUCCACAGGCGGGUAGUUUUGGUCUAGAGGUAAACUGCGUCCCGAGAAACGCUCGGGGAAGGAAGGAACAAGCAUUGGCUCAUUUAAAGGAAAAAGCCAAGGUCGCCUCCUCCUGCGUAUGAUGUCUUAGGAGGUAGGGGAGAAGCCGCCUGGGUCCGCUUCCAUCGCGGGAGGGGGGAGGAAAAAGGCAACAGCACACGUGCGUGAAUUCAGAGCUGGACCCGGGGAAUUUUAAUGCUGUGUCCCUGCAUCUGUUCUGCUCAAAACUGAUUAUCUCUCAUCCCAGUGACGGUGGGAUCACUGGGACUGAGCAGCCUCGUGUCUAAAAUAAUAAAAUAUCCGCCCCGAUGAGGAAGGGUAAGGGCGUGGCGGGGCACAGUCUUUGUCUUCCUUGCGUGUUGCUGGCGAGGCUGGUGGGGAGGCCGUCGAGCCGAGGUCCGCCCGUCGCCGUUGGCCCUCGCGCCCUUCACUUAGUCCCAGAGCCACCGUGUCUGCGGAGAUGCUCGCCACUGUGGGCGAGGGUGGUGCCAGACGCAGGGAAAGGCCAGGGGACACGCACAACGAGACAGCAUCUGAACUUGGCAAAGUACGAAAGCUCCCCGCUUGCGAACUCUCUGGACCCCAGACUAGAGAACACGAUGUCCCGAGCUGAGUCUCUGUGCCUAGAAUUGGGGCGCAGGGGGCGCACCAGCCUCGAAGGGCUACCGAGCUCCCGGCAGACCCGCAUCAGCCUGGGGCGCCCACAAUAGCGCCUUGGUCCCCCUGAGGCCGAGCAGAGGCUUCUUCACGCUCCUCCUGGUGAGUGAUGGGCGCAGAGGUCACGUGAGCCCACGAGCGCCUUGAACGCCAGGUAAGCCUUUCCGUUUCCCCAGGUCCUUGGAGGAUCCGUUCAGCGCUCCAGGCGAGGGUGCGCCAGAAAGAGCAGCCUGGUCGUUCCAAACCCUUCGAAGCAUUGCAGCGCCGUCAAGGCACCAACAGGUAAACCUCAGGCCGGAGAAGCCACAGGGGUUUCCAGGCACAGCGGCCAACCUGAGCUCAAGCAUUUCAAGCAACCCCUUCAAGAAAGAGCCGACUUGGGGGUCCCCAUGCCGCUCACUCAGAGAACCAGCUGCGUGGGCAUUUGACACCAGGUCCCCGAAGGGUGAGCCCUUGCACAGAGACCUCUCCGCCGUCCGCACCCCCGGACGAGGGCACGAUUUCAGAACACCUGCUCUCUUUGCCGUCACUUCUCCACGUGACUCCCAGCCCACGAGCUACCUCUGCAAGGGACCGAGGCCAGCAAACCUCUUCCUGAUGUACAGCCAGUGGGACUCAGCUGCCUCCUGGACCGAUUCACUUCUCACAAAAUUAUCCUGACAGCCUCGCUUGCAGACCUCGGGGAACCCAGACUGAAGCAGUUGCCUUGCCUUUGGGACCAGGACGGGCGUUGUUUAAAGAUGGGCCCUGUAUCUCACUCCAGAUCAGAAUGUUUUCCUUUUAUAGCAUUUUAACAGCUUUUCCCAGAAAACAUCA
This is a long non-coding RNA of Phacochoerus africanus (Common warthog), 2016 nucleotides long. RefSeq lists it as uncharacterized. The record is from RefSeq and is a predicted model, not a curated record. Lineage: Eukaryota; Metazoa; Chordata; Mammalia; Artiodactyla; Suidae. The transcript is spliced from 3 exons.